GUACCUUGUGUAUCAGGGUUUAUUAAAUAGAUUAUUUAAAUUAAAUAUAUCUCGAAUUUUAAAGAUUUAAAUUAAAAUAUUAGUUAAUGUGGAAUAAUUAUUAAUAAUUUUAAUUUAGUAGUGAAAUGUUAACGAUUUAAAAGAUAUCUAGUUUUUUUAGAAUUGAAUUUAAUUCAGUAUUUAAAUAUUAUAUAAUAUACAAUUAUAUAUAUAUAUAUAUAUAUUUAAAUAAAAUUAUUUUAGGGCUAAUCUUAAAAUAAUUUUAAUAAUUAAUUUUAUAUAUAAUAUAAAAAUAUUUAUAGUAAUAGAAAUUUUUAAAAAGUAUUUUAUAAUUUAUAAUAAAAUUUAAAUUUGAUUUCAAUAAAAAUUUUAAAAUUUUAUAUAAAAAGUAUAAUAAUAAUAAUAAUAAAGUUAUAAUGAUAAUAUUAGUAAAAUAUAAUAUUUAAAUUAGAAAUUAAUUAAAAAAUAAUAUUAAAGAAUUCGACAAAUAUUUUAUUCGCCUGUUUAUCAAAAACAUGGUUUAUAGAUUUUAAUUAUAAAUCGGUUCUGCCCAAUGAAUUUAAUAAUUUAAAUGGCUGCGGUAUACUGACCGUACAAAGGUAGCAAAGUCAAUAGUUUUUUAAUUGAAAACUGGUAUGAAAGAGCUGACGAGAUAAAAAUUGUUUCAAUAUUAAAUUAUUGAAUUUAAAUUUUGAGUUAAAAUGCUUAAAUUUUUUUAUUAGACGAGAAGACCCUAUAGAAUUUAAUAAAAUUUAUAUAUAAAGAUUAUUAUAUAAAAAUAAAUUUUUAUAUAUAUUUAUAUUUAAUUGGGAGGAUUAUAAAAUUAAAUAAACUUUUAUUUUAUUAAUAACAUAGAUAAAUGAAGUUAUGAUUAUUAUUAUAAUUAAAAGAA
RNAcentral lists this ribosomal RNA (892 nucleotides) under Euodynerus nipanicus tonkinensis. Its description in RNAcentral is "partial large subunit ribosomal RNA". Lineage: Eukaryota; Metazoa; Arthropoda; Insecta; Hymenoptera; Vespidae. The record is from RNAcentral.